CAAAAGAAAAUGUGAUGUCAACUACAGACAAAAGCUAAAGGAAAAGAUGGGCAUUUCUUCUGGGACUUGUACCUGGUUGCAGUAAGGUUAAACGCAAGGAAACAAUGCUAGAUGAAAUCAUUAACUAUGUAUUGUCACUUCAGCGACUGGUUGAGAUAUU
Long non-coding RNA from Hibiscus syriacus, 160 nucleotides. RefSeq lists it as uncharacterized. Lineage: Eukaryota; Viridiplantae; Streptophyta; Magnoliopsida; Malvales; Malvaceae. The transcript has 3 exons. The record is from RefSeq and is a predicted model, not a curated record.